RNAcentral lists this ribosomal RNA (468 nucleotides) under uncultured bacterium. RNAcentral's name for it is "partial 16S ribosomal RNA". It matches the Rfam family "Bacterial small subunit ribosomal RNA", at positions 28 to 507 of the family's 1533-position model. The record is from RNAcentral.
GACGAACGCUGGCGGCGUGCUUAACACAUGCAAGUCGAACGGAAAGGCCCUGCUUUUGUGGGGUGCUCGAGUGGCGAACGGGUGCGUAACACGUGAGUAACCUGCCCUUUACUUUGGGAUAACUUCAGGAAACUGGGGCUAAUACCGGAUAGGAGCUCCUGCUGCAUGGUGGGGGGUGGAAAGUUUCGGCGGUUGGGGAUUGACUCGCGGCUUAUCAGCUUGUUGGUGGGGUAGUGGCUUACCAAGGCUUUGACGGGUAGCCGGCCUGAAAGGGUGACCGGCCACAUUGGGACUGAGAUACGGCCCAGACUCAUACGGGAGGCAGCAGUGGGGAAUAUUGCACAAUGGGCGGAAGCCUGAUGCAGCAACGCCGCGUGCGGGAUGACGGCCUUCGGGUUGUAAACCGCUUUCGCCUGUGACGAAGCGUGAGUGACGGUAAUGGGUAAAGAAGCACCGGCUAACUACGUG